Molecule: long non-coding RNA, 655 nt
Organism: Oreochromis niloticus (Nile tilapia)
Lineage: Eukaryota; Metazoa; Chordata; Actinopteri; Cichliformes; Cichlidae
Exons: 3
Source: RefSeq, a predicted model, not a curated record
UCAGAUAUAAAACUGUGCUUGUCUCCUUUUGAAAGAAGCCUUCCCUAAUCACGCACUGUUUGUGACAGAGCAGUUUUUCAGACUGCAGCAGCAGAAGGCUCGUAUACACUGCAGACCAGUCAGGGUGCCCAUGCUGCACCAGCACUGAGCAUGUGAGCAUCAAAACUGGACCAAAGAGCAAUGGAAGAAGGUGUCCUGCUGUGAUGAGUCACACGUAGAUGGCCGGCUGCAUGUGCAUUACUUACCUAGGGAACACCCGGCACCAGGAUGAAUUAUGGGAAGAAGGUGUGCAUAUAUGAAACCUGCAGCUGUUGUGAAUGUGCAGUAGAAGCAGAACAUGGCUGUAGAGACAAGCUGAGCUCACCUGUACUCCAGCAGUGGAAAGUGGGAAGUAAGGUAAUGGUUAUAGUAGAGCAAACAAUAACGUAAUCAGAGCUCCUGUCUGCUCUGCUUCUCAGUCUCAAACUGCUGCAUUGGAGCAACGAUGCUAAAUUAUAUUAAACAUUUCUAGUCUAUAAGCUUGGAAACAUGGAAAGUAUUAAAAAGUCCAACAGGUGCAGAUACACAAAGAUGACAAAAUUCGUCUGAGAUGAUUACUUCAGAAACUCACGUAAUUUGAGGAGUAAUGACGUUCAUAUAGAUUCUCCACCUUAAA